UACGGAGGGUGCAAGCGUUAUCCGGAAUCACUGGGUUAAAGGGUGCGUAGGCGGCACAAUAAGUCAGAAGUGAAAGGCUGUAGCUUAACUAUGGAAUUGCUUUUGAUACUGUUGAGCUUGAAUUGGGUUGAGGUUAGCGGAAUGAGUCAUGUAGCGGUGAAAUGCAUAGAUAUGAUAUACACAAUCA
RNAcentral lists this ribosomal RNA (187 nucleotides) under uncultured bacterium. Its description in RNAcentral is "partial 16S ribosomal RNA". It matches the Rfam family "Bacterial small subunit ribosomal RNA", at positions 524 to 711 of the family's 1533-position model. The record is from RNAcentral.